AUGGCUUUGAAAAACUCUGCCGUCCUCCUCAUCGGGCUUCUUCUCUCUUGUGUUGCCACGAGCAGUGCGGCGAGAAUCCUGGAAGAGACCGUUCCGUCCAAGGAGGAGCACCAGCCUGAGGUGCCACCGCUUCCUAAGGUAGAACUGCCACCGUUUCCGGAAGUGCACCUACCGCCUAAGCCUGAGCUUCCCAAGGUGGAGUUGCCGCCGGUCCCGGAGGUGCACUUGCCACCUAAGCCUAAGUUGCCCAAGGUGGAGUUGCCUCCGGUCCCGGAAGUGCACAUGCCACCCAAGCCGGAGCUGCCCAAAGUGGAGCUGCCGUCGGUCCCUGAGGUACACCUGCCACCCAAGCCGGAGUUGCCCAAGGUAGAGCUGCCAACAUUCCCGGAGGUUCACAUGCCACCCAAGCCGGAGAUGCCCAAGGUGGAGCUGCCGCCGAAGCCCGAGAUGCCCACUGUUCCCGUGUUCCAUGUCCCGGAGUCGGAGCCCAAGCCGUGA
RNAcentral lists this ribosomal RNA (498 nucleotides) under Triticum aestivum (bread wheat). RNAcentral describes it as "partial small subunit ribosomal RNA". The record is from RNAcentral. Lineage: Eukaryota; Viridiplantae; Streptophyta; Magnoliopsida; Poales; Poaceae.